This 85-nucleotide ribosomal RNA is filed under the name Bacillus cereus. RNAcentral also lists the same sequence under 46 other names. The record is from RNAcentral. Lineage: Bacteria; Bacillati; Bacillota; Bacilli; Caryophanales; Bacillaceae.
UUCCCAUACCGAACACGGAAGUUAAGCUCUCUAGCGCCGAUGGUAGUUGGGACCUUGUCCCUGUGAGAGUAGGACGUCGCCAAGC